UCCCGGAUCGUCUAAUGGCAGGACAGGGGAUUUUGGUUCCCCGAAUGAGGGUUCGAUUCCUUCUCCGGGAG
This 71-nucleotide transfer RNA is filed under the name Streptacidiphilus jiangxiensis. It matches the Rfam family "tRNA". Rfam says of the family: Transfer RNA (tRNA) molecules are approximately 80 nucleotides in length. Their secondary structure includes four short double-helical elements and three loops (D, anti-codon, and T loops). Further hydrogen bonds mediate the characteristic L-shaped molecular structure. tRNAs have two regions of fundamental functional importance: the anti-codon, which is responsible for specific mRNA codon recognition, and the 3' end, to which the tRNAs corresponding amino acid is attached (by aminoacyl-tRNA synthetases). tRNAs cope with the degeneracy of the genetic code in two manners: having more than one tRNA (with a specific anti-codon) for a particular amino acid; and 'wobble' base-pairing, i.e. permitting non-standard base-pairing at the 3rd anti-codon position. The record is from Rfam by way of RNAcentral. Lineage: Bacteria; Bacillati; Actinomycetota; Actinomycetes; Kitasatosporales; Streptomycetaceae.